This 327-nucleotide ribosomal RNA is filed under the name uncultured eukaryote. Its description in RNAcentral is "partial 18S ribosomal RNA". It matches the Rfam family "Eukaryotic small subunit ribosomal RNA", at positions 1470 to 1796 of the family's 1831-position model. The record is from RNAcentral.
CCCUUAGAAGUUCUGGGCUGCACGCGCGCGACACUGAUGCGCUCAAGGAGUUUACGACCUUGCCUGGAAAGGUUGGGUAAUCUUCUUAAAAAACAUCGUGAUGGAGCUAGAUUAUUGCAACUAUUAAUCUUCAACGAGGAAUGCCUUGUAAGCGUGAGUCAUCAACUCGCGCUGAAUACGUCCCUGCCCUUUGUACACACCGCCCGUCGCUCCUACCGAUUGGAUGGUCCGGUGAACUGGUCGGACUGAUAAUUGUCACUGCGGGUGCAGUAGCAUUACGGAAAGUCCGGUGAACCUUAUCAUCUAGAGGAAGGAGAAGUCGUAACA